UGAUAGAUCAUUAUUGGAUUCUUUUUAUUGUGACCAAGAUCCAUGAAAUAGCUCUCUUUAUACUACGUUAUAACUAGCGGAUACUUCCCAUUCUUAUGUCUUCUUUCCUUAUUACGACUCCUGUGCUUAGAUAAAAUACGACGUUUGAGUUUGGACAUAGCCAAUUGCUACUUACGGUGCUAGGCCUUUUCAAGCAAUGGAAGGCAGACUUGAAUGCCAAUCAGACAUGGCCAGAAGCUUAGAUAAUAUCACUAGUUUCUCUUGUUUAUCAC
This 272-nucleotide long non-coding RNA is filed under the name Hordeum vulgare. Its description in RNAcentral is "long non-coding RNA (HVUL_LNC000709)". Lineage: Eukaryota; Viridiplantae; Streptophyta; Magnoliopsida; Poales; Poaceae. The record is from RNAcentral.